Molecule: ribosomal RNA, 287 nt
Filed under: Plasmodium falciparum (malaria parasite P. falciparum)
Lineage: Eukaryota; Apicomplexa; Aconoidasida; Haemosporida; Plasmodiidae
Description: partial 18S ribosomal RNA
Rfam family: Eukaryotic small subunit ribosomal RNA
Source: RNAcentral
GAGACAAACAACUGCGAAAGCAUUUGCCUAAAAUACUUCCAUUAAUCAAGAACGAAAGUUAAGGGAGUGAAGACGAUCAGAUACCGUCGUAAUCUUAACCAUAAACUAUGCCGACUAGGUGUUGGAUGAAAGUGUUAAAAUAAAAGUCAUCUUUCGAGGUGACUUUUAGAUUGCUUCCUUCAGUACCUUAUGAGAAAUCAAAGUCUUUGGGUUCUGGGGCGAGUAUUCGCGCAAGCGAGAAAGUUAAAAGAAUUGACGGAAGGGCACCACCAGGCGUGGAGCUUGCG